UAGCGAAAGCGAGUUUUAACUGAGCGUUCAGUUACUUGACGUAGACCCGAAACCGGGCGACCUACCCAUGAGCAGGAUGAAGCGAAAGUAAAAUUUCGUGGAGGUCCGAACCCACGAGCGUUGAAAAGCUCGGGGAUGACUUGUGGGUAGCGGUGAAAUUCCAAUCGAGCCCGGAGAUAGCUGGUUCUCCCCGAAAUAGCUUUAGGGCUAGCCUCAAGGUGAGAGAUACGGAGGUAGAGCACUGAAUGUCCUAGGGGGUAUUGCACCUACCGAAGACUAUCAAACUCCGAAUGCCGUCAUCUUAUACUUGGGAGUCAGACUGUGGGUGAUAAGAUUCAUAGUCGAAAGGGCAACAGCCCAGAUCGUCAGCUAAGGUCCCUAAAUGUAAGUUAAGUGGUAAAGGAUGUGGGAUUGCACAGACAACCAGGAUGUUGGCUUAGAAGCAGCCACUCAUUCAAAGAGUGCGUAAUAGCUCACUGGUCGAGUGAUCCUGCGCCGAAGAUUUCCGGGGCUAAAACUUACUACCGAAGCUACGGCAUCAGUAAUGAUGGGUAGGGGAGCUUCCCAUACGGGUUGAAGCAUGACCGUAAGGACAUGUGGACAGUAUGGGAGUGAGAAUGUUGGCAUGAGUAGCGAGAUGUGGGUGAGAAUCCCACAGGCCGUAAACCCAAGGUUUCCAGGGGAAGGUUCGUCCGCCCUGGGUUAGUCGGGACCUAAGCUGAGGCCGAAAGGCGUAGGUGAUGGACAACAGGUUGAUAUUCCUGUACUACCGAUAACCGUUUGAGAGAAGGGAUGACACAGUAGGAUAAGCUAAGCACACUGUUGGUUAUGUGUGCCCAAGCAUUGAGGCAGUCAAAGUAGGUAAAUCCGCUUUGAUAAUGCUGGGAUGUGAUGGGGAGCGAAAUUUAGUAGCGAAGUAGCUGAUUUCACACUGUCAAGAAAAGUCUCUAUCGAGGUUAAAGGUACCCGUACCGCAAACCGACACAGGUGGGUGAGGAGAGUAUCCUAAGGCCAGCGAGAGAACUGUUGUUAAGGAACUCGGCAAAAUGACCCCGUAACUUAGGGAUAAGGGGUGCCACCAUCAGGUGGCCGCAGAGAAUAGGCCCAAGCGACUGUUUACCAAAAACAUAGGUUUCUGCUAAGUCGCAAGACGAUGUAUAGGAGCUGACGCCUGCCCGGUGCUGGAAGGUUAAGGGGAUCUGUUAGAGCAAUCGAAGCAGUGAACUUAAGCCCCAGUAAACGGCGGCCGUAACUAUAACGGUCCUAAGGUAGCGAAAUUCCUUGUCGGGUAAGUUCCGACCCGCACGAAAGGCGUAACGAUUUGGGCACUGUCUCAACAACAGACUCGGUGAAAUUGUAAUUCCGGUGAAGAUGCCGGAUACCUGCGACAGGACGGAAAGACCCCAUGGAGCUUUACUGUAGCUUGACAUUGGGUCUUGGUACUACAUGUACAGGAUAGGUGGGAGGCUUUGAAACCAGGACGCCAGUUUUGGCGGAGCCAUCCUUGGGAUACCACCCUUGUAGUACUGGGACUCUAACCAUAGGCCAUGAAUCUGGUCUUGGGACACUGUCAGGUGGGCAGUUUGACUGGGGCGGUCGCCUCCCAAAAGGUAACGGAGGCGCUCAAAGGUUCUCUCAGUACGGUCGGAAAUCGUACGUAGAGUGUAAAGGCAAAAGAGAGCUUGAUUGCAAGACAUACAGGUCGAGCAAGGAUGAA
This 1717-nucleotide ribosomal RNA is filed under the name Clostridioides difficile. RNAcentral describes it as "bacterial LSU rRNA". It matches the Rfam family "Bacterial large subunit ribosomal RNA", at positions 669 to 2403 of the family's 2925-position model. The record is from RNAcentral. Lineage: Bacteria; Bacillati; Bacillota; Clostridia; Peptostreptococcales; Peptostreptococcaceae.